This 191-nucleotide non-coding RNA is filed under the name [Eubacterium] infirmum. The record is from RNAcentral. RNAcentral also lists the same sequence under 1 other name. Lineage: Bacteria; Bacillati; Bacillota; Clostridia; Peptostreptococcales; Anaerovoracaceae.
UUUAAUACGUUGGAUUUCAGUGCGGAUUGGCGCGUGCCAUGAUGUUAAAAGGAAAUCAGGUGAAAGUCCUGAGCAAUCCGGUUACUGUAAUCAUCUUACUAAUCCCCUAAUUAUGUCAUUGCGCACGACGUGAGAAGGCUUGGGGAGAUAUGGGUGAGAGCCAGGAAACCUGCUGAAUUUUGGUGAGUUCU